UAACAGAGGGAAACUUCUGAUAAUACUGGAUAAGUUAGUAUAUCGCAUGAUAUGCAAAUGAAAGCUACGGCACUAAAGGAGAGCUUUGCGUCCUAUUAGCUAGUUGGUAAGGUAAGAGCUUACCAAGGCGAUGAUAGGUAGCCGGCCUGAGAGGGUGGACGGCCACAAGGGGACUGAGAUACGGCCCUUACUCCUACGGGAGGCAGCAGUA
Molecule: ribosomal RNA, 211 nt
Filed under: uncultured Leptotrichia sp.
Lineage: Bacteria; Fusobacteriati; Fusobacteriota; Fusobacteriia; Fusobacteriales; Leptotrichiaceae
Description: partial 16S ribosomal RNA
Rfam family: Bacterial small subunit ribosomal RNA
Source: RNAcentral